This is a non-coding RNA of Urocitellus parryii (Arctic ground squirrel), 1075 nucleotides long. Lineage: Eukaryota; Metazoa; Chordata; Mammalia; Rodentia; Sciuridae. The record is from RefSeq and is a predicted model, not a curated record.
UGGUCGCUCCUACCCGYCCCCCUCCAGGCACGUGACCCCCGUUAGGAAGGUGUUUAGAGCACUGUCCCAGCCUCUGCCGGAAUCGCGGAGGACACUGCGCCUCCCGGGACGGCUCCGGCGCCUGCAGCCCAGGGACUGGGMGGGAAGCGACGCUGAGGCGCGUCCUGGUUCUCGGCCCUUCUCCCUCGGAGGUGGCAGGAGACAGGGUCAGCCUGUGACAUUCUCACCUCCCUGGCCUUGCCAACGCUGAUGGUAGGAGUGGGGACACCCAGCUUGAGUUUCUUGUACUUAUAUCUGUCUUUUCUAGAUGGCAAGUUAGAAGUGGUUUCCGCUGAUGAUAGGAAGCUUCCUGGAGACAAGCUGCUGCCGCAGUCCAGGCGGUGUCCCUGCUGGAAGGAACCGAGUGAGUUGGCGGUGACACUGGGGCCUGGCUCCUCUGGGAACUUGGUGUGGAUUUGGAAGUGACCUUGACAGACUCCGUGGAUUCUCAGCCAGAGCUAGCCAGGGGGGUCAGCGCCUCCCGCCAGCACCUGCUGCGGUCCCUGUUCUGCAGUGGACCUCUCUGAGCUGAGCCAGCAAUGGGAGGGCUCUGUAGACCAAGCCCUGUAGGGACCAGUGCCAGCUGGGGCAUUUUGGCGAGGGACGCUAACAGGACUGCAUGUGCAGGCAGAAAAGGGUGACCCCAAGGGCUCUGGUCCAGGAAAUGGGGCUGUGGGAUCCCUGCAGGGGAAGGGCUCCYGAGCUUGUGGGGAGCCCCUGAGCUGGAGGGUGGUGGGAAACUCCAGGGGCGCAGGCAGGAAGAGCUAGAGGCGUAGGUGCUCUUGGGGACAGGUUUCCUCCGAGGCUGCUUGGUGGCCAGCCAAGCCCCACUUAACAGAUGAGCUCACCAAGGUCAGAGAAGAGGAUUACCCAGCCAUAAGUGUCGAAGCUGAAAGGAAAGUUGAGCUGUCCCAGCCCAUGCCCUGGGAGGUGACAGGAAGCCAAGAAGAGGACAGGCAAACUCAAGUCCCCCAUGGAGACUUGCCUGGGUGGCCUUGAAGACAGGGCCUCCCUGAGUUGAUGAGGACCUCGCUAA